This 496-nucleotide ribosomal RNA is filed under the name Escherichia coli. RNAcentral's name for it is "partial 23S ribosomal RNA". It matches the Rfam family "Bacterial large subunit ribosomal RNA", at positions 1 to 527 of the family's 2925-position model. The record is from RNAcentral. Lineage: Bacteria; Pseudomonadati; Pseudomonadota; Gammaproteobacteria; Enterobacterales; Enterobacteriaceae.
GGGUUGUGAGGUUAAGCGACUAAGCGUACACGGUGGAUGCCCUGGCAGUCAGAGGCGAUGAAGGACGUGCUAAUCUGCGAUAAGCGUCGGUAAGAUGAUAUGAACCGUUAUAACCGGCGAUUUCCGAAUGGGGAAACCCAGUGUGUUUCGACACACUAUCAUUAACUGAAUCCAUAGGUUAAUGAGGCGAACCGGGGGAACUGAAACAUCUAAGUACCCCGAGGAAAAGAAAUCAACCGAGAUUCCCCCAGUAGCGGCGAGCGAACGGGGAGCAGCCCAGAGCCUGAAUCAGUGUGUGUGUUAGUGGAAGCGUCUGGAAAGGCGCGCGAUACAGGGUGACAGCCCCGUACACAAAAAUGCACAUGCUGUGAGCUCGAUGAGUAGGGCGGGACACGUGGUAUCCUGUCUGAAUAUGGGGGGACCAUCCUCCAAGGCUAAAUACUCCUGACUGACCGAUAGUGAACCAGUACCGUGAGGGAAAGGCGAAAAGAACCCC